AUUGAACGCUGGCGGAAUGCUUUACACAUGCAAGUCGAACGGCAGCACGGACUUCGGUCUGGUGGCGAGUGGCGAACGGGUGAGUAAUGUAUCGGAACGUGCCCAGUCGUGGGGGAUAACGUAGUGAAAAUUACGCUAAUACCGCAUACGAUCUAUGGAUGAAAGCGGGGGAUCGCAAGACCUCGCGCGAUUGGAGCGGCCGAUAUCAGAUUAGGUAGUUGGUGGGGUAAAGGCCCACCAAGCCAACGAUCUGUAGCUGGUCUGAGAGGACGACCAGCCACACUGGAAAGGGUACACGGUCCAGACUCCUACGGGAGGCAGCAGUGGGGAAUUUUGGACAAUGGGCGAAAGCCUGAUCCAGCCAUUCCGCGUGCAGGAUGAAGGCCCUCGGGUUGUAAACUGCUUUUGUACAGAACGAAAAGGUUUCUACUAAUACUAGGAGCUCAUGACGGUACUGUAAGAAUAAGCACCGGCUAACUACGUGCCAGCCGCCGCGGUAA
RNAcentral lists this ribosomal RNA (500 nucleotides) under uncultured bacterium. RNAcentral's name for it is "partial 16S ribosomal RNA". It matches the Rfam family "Bacterial small subunit ribosomal RNA", at positions 30 to 523 of the family's 1533-position model. The record is from RNAcentral.